UACCCAUUGCAUAUCGGAGCUGU
Molecule: microRNA, 23 nt
Filed under: Bos taurus (domestic cattle)
Lineage: Eukaryota; Metazoa; Chordata; Mammalia; Artiodactyla; Bovidae
Also listed under: 1 other name
Description: Bta-Mir-188-P3_5p (mature (guide))
Source: RNAcentral